Molecule: transfer RNA, 72 nt
Filed under: Callithrix jacchus (white-tufted-ear marmoset)
Lineage: Eukaryota; Metazoa; Chordata; Mammalia; Primates; Cebidae
Rfam family: tRNA
About the family: Transfer RNA (tRNA) molecules are approximately 80 nucleotides in length. Their secondary structure includes four short double-helical elements and three loops (D, anti-codon, and T loops). Further hydrogen bonds mediate the characteristic L-shaped molecular structure. tRNAs have two regions of fundamental functional importance: the anti-codon, which is responsible for specific mRNA codon recognition, and the 3' end, to which the tRNAs corresponding amino acid is attached (by aminoacyl-tRNA synthetases). tRNAs cope with the degeneracy of the genetic code in two manners: having more than one tRNA (with a specific anti-codon) for a particular amino acid; and 'wobble' base-pairing, i.e. permitting non-standard base-pairing at the 3rd anti-codon position.
Source: Rfam by way of RNAcentral
UCCCUGGUGGUCUAGUGGUUAGGAUUUGACACUCUCACUGCCAUGGCACGGGUUCGAUUCCUGGUCAGGGAA